This 492-nucleotide ribosomal RNA is filed under the name uncultured bacterium. Its description in RNAcentral is "partial 16S ribosomal RNA". It matches the Rfam family "Bacterial small subunit ribosomal RNA", at positions 29 to 507 of the family's 1533-position model. The record is from RNAcentral.
AGUGAACGCUGGCGGUAGGCCUAACACAUGCAAGUCGAACGGCAGCACAGUAAGAGCUUGCUCUUACGGGUGGCGAGUGGCGGACGGGUGAGGAAUACAUCGUACUCUACUUUUUCGUGGGGGAUAACGUAGGGAAACUUACGCUAAUACCGUAUACGACCUUCGGGUGAAAGCAGUGGAUCUUCUGACCUUGCGCGAUUGAAUGCGCCGAUGCCGGAUUAGCUAGUCGGGGGGGUAAAGGCCCACCAAGGCGACGAUCCGUAGCUGGUGUGAGAGGAUGAUCGGCCACACUGGAACUGGAACAGGGUCAAGACUCCUACGGGAGGCAGCAGUGGGGAAUAUUGGACAGUGGGCGCAAGCAUGGUCCAGCCAGCCCACGUGGGUGGAGGAGGCCUUGGGGUUGUAAAGACCUUUUGUUGGGAAAGAAAAGCAGCAGGUUAAUACCCCGCUGUUCUGACGGUACCCAAAGAAUAAGCACCGGCUAACUUCGUG